Molecule: long non-coding RNA, 1483 nt
Organism: Paramisgurnus dabryanus
Lineage: Eukaryota; Metazoa; Chordata; Actinopteri; Cypriniformes; Cobitidae
Source: RefSeq, a predicted model, not a curated record
UGUGUAUUAGUACAUGCUAACGAUAUUCAAAAAGUACAUACCUCAAAGAAAACGAUGACGCGAGUUAUCGUCUCUAACGUUCGAGGACUACAAAAAACACUCGGAUUGUAGGCAACAGUUUACUUCCUGGGAUUAGUGACGUAGAUAAGACCAACAUUAUCAUAGUUCAGCCCUCUCUGCUUUGCUUGGGUACGCCCUCAAAGACGAGGGUGGGGAGCGCCGAGUCAGAAGAGAGCUAAAAUGGCGGAGGUUGUGAGUCCCUGCUUUGACUCUGUUUGCAAACUCUUGUUUCAUCGUUUAAGCGAUUAAAUCUCUCGAGUAGACGCUGUCUCUUUAGAUGCGAGGGCAAAAUAGCACUUUAUGGACUUACACAGAGGACAUCAUGUUUAAUACGGUUCCGGAAAAAUCCAGUCAGAAGUUGUUCACGGAGUUUUCACAAUAACUGCUUCUCAUGAACCGAACCUGGACGUCUCCUUCUGAAAGUUGGAUUAACGUUACUGUGCACUUCUGGAUCACAGGCUGUAAGUAUUCACGUUUAUUAUUUGCCUUUUACUGUACAUUACGUAACCGGUAACCGGAGAUUAACAUAAUGUGCGUGUAGAGCUAAGCUUGCAAGCGAACUGUUUUGUGUUGUAAUACUGUAUUUCAUAAACAACGUACCAUAUUUACACACGUGUAUGUUGAAUUAUGCAGACUAUCGUUUUUUUAUCGAUGUUGGUUAAGACAUGUUUACAAACUUGCUAAGUUACCAGCUAAACUGUUACCGGUAAAAUUUGUUCUCAUGAUCAAACUCAAGAAACUCUAAGUACAGAUGAUUUGUUUAAAGUUAUAUGUAUUUUACUGUUGUUUUUACUUGAAGCUUUCUUAGAUUUUGAAACGAAGUAAACACGUAAUGUGUGUUGCUAAUGUUGGGCCAUGUAACAUGUAAUACAUUUACGUUUUAAUGAAUAGUCUAACGAGUUAUAGUCGUUGUACUCUAUUGUUAUAAUAUGUCUUUUUGACUGAAUACAUGUUUGUUUUAUUUGUCUAUAUCUUAGAUUCGCAGCUGGACACAUCCUUCUACACUGUAUGCAAACAUGCAACAUCAUAACACACAGUACAAGGAGUCAGACUGGCAUAUGAGGAGCAAAGGAACCCAGACAGUAGCAUCGUUUCACAAUGUUUCCAUCACCAUCAUCAGUGGAUGCCUUUGCCGUCCGUAGCCUGAGAUUCCAGAUUUGCAGCAAAAAAAAUUGAUUUUCUCAUUUAUUGGAAUGCUAUGCAGGUUGUACCUUGCAGCCAUCCAUUACAAUGUCACCAAGCCGUAACAAAAGCAGGAGAGGGAAAGUACAAGGCUAUGUUCCCAAAACACACAAGUGACAUACCUUAUGUGGAUGAUGUGAUCAGGCUUGUGUUUGAUGAGGUAUUUGAAGAUAAGCUGAAGGAAACCCCGAUUCCAAUGGACCUGGCAUCACAGUUUGAGAGACCUUCAAAGGAGGACGUG